RNAcentral lists this long non-coding RNA (13595 nucleotides) under Mytilus galloprovincialis (Mediterranean mussel). The record is from RNAcentral. Lineage: Eukaryota; Metazoa; Mollusca; Bivalvia; Mytilida; Mytilidae.
AGAGAGUAUGUGCAUGUAAAAAAAGCAUGCAAGAAAAAUAAUUGGCCUAAUGUGUACAGUAAGCCUACUUUCAGAGUGGCUAUAAUAAAUAUGAAGUAUGUGCUGGCAUUCAAAAGUGGUGUUUUAUAAUAUAAAUCAAAUGCAAAAUAUUGAAAGAAGGUUGGAUGGGGGGACAGUGUGUCUGGCUCCAUGUAUGGAGAUUCAUUUAUAUGGUUCAUGAUUUUGUAGUUUUUGUCUGCUCCAAAUGUUGUCUAGUUUCAGGGUUCCAGGACCCCCUUUUUCAAAAUCCAAAAUCCUGCCCCCCAUCUUUCAUGGAAAAAAAUAAUUGAUACAAAUACAAAUAUUUUAUUGGCACAAACUCAAUUACAAUAAUUGGCAACGGCCUCAAUCCUAAAUCUUAAGGCCUGUUGGCACGAAUUGUCUCAAUGUGCGGUUUUCCUCAAGGUAUUUUCUUCUCUGUGCUUUAAAUUGGUAUGCGCUGGUUAAGAUUGGGAUUGUGGGACAGUAGUAUUAAAUCUGCCCCGAGAUUACAGCCCCUUCAACCAUGAGCAUAAGCCCCAAAUAAGCGGCAUAGUCAGGAAAAGGCCCAGAUAGAGACAUGUAAAACAAUUUCGUAACGAGAAAGACUAAACGGCCUUGCAUUUUUGUAAACAAAUGAACGAAACACAAGAUAUGUAACCAGUCGGCCCGCACUCCAAGGGGGUCCGGGGUCGCACGCCCCCCUUUCCUUGUUGGCCGAUCAAUACAUUUGAAUCGGGACCAACUACGUGUUGUUGCACCCCCUCCUGCACCCGCCCCUUGUGCCUGGCUUAGCACCCCUUUCGAAAAUUCCUGGCAUGCGCCACUGUACAACAUAUAAGCAACGACACACCACUGAAUUACCAGGCUCGCUGAUUGGACAGGCACAUUACAUUAAUAAUGUGGCGGGGUUAAACUGUUGAGCGGGAUUGCAGACCGCUCUCCCUAAACCUGGGACAGUGGUAUAACAGCACAACAUAUAGAACCAACUAUAAAAAAUCAGUAUGAAAAAGGCUUAACUCAUCAGGAUGAACAAGAAUAGCAAGGGACGUGGUAAGAAAUUUCUUUGACUUUGUGAGUUCAUAUUUUGUGGCAGUGGCAAGAUAAAUGUUUUUUCAUCUUCUAUUUUUUUAUUAUGACAUAAUUUGCAACACCUUUUUCUCUGUUUAAUUGCCAUGUAUCUACCUCUUUCCAAUUUCAAGAUUGUUGAUUAUAUAUGGAAUCACUGAAGCAUGACUGGAGUGCCUCCCCCCUCCUAAUGAAAAGUUUUGGAUCUGCACUGCCUUAUCCAAAAACACUAAAUAAAAAUUUAAACAACUUGUUAUAAAUAGUAUACGAAUUCUUAUAUGAUUGGCAUAUUAGGGAGUAAUUCAAAUAAAUCAAAUCAAAUCAAAUAAUUUUAUUGGUGUAAAUUCCUAUACAGAAAUGAUACCAGCGGACAUUUACAAAAUACAAAUACAAAAAAUAAACAAACAAACAAACAAACAAACAAAAAAACAACCAAACAUAUUUUCUCAAUGAUCAUGAUAAGAGAUACAUAUUUUAUAUUUACAUUGCGUGGAGGUGUUAUUCAUACAAUAUUAUUAAUGCAAGCUAUUACAAUCAGCUUUAAUACUAUAAAAGCUCUUAACAACAUUAUGUUUGCUUUAAAUGAAUGUUCAAUAGCAUUUUGAUAUGGUUGGUCAAGCAGGAGACUUCCGCUUUAGUUAUCCUGACGUUGGUUAUUUUUUGAUAACAACGUUGACCGACUUCUUUUUGUAACCAAUGUAAACAAGAUGGCGGCGAUUAUAAACACCGACUUAAAAAUUAUUUUCACCUGCAGCCCCUAAUCUUUAUAUAAAAUGAUACACAAAAACUUCGUUUGGAUGCAAUAAGGGUUUUUGCAGUUUACUUUUUAUCAAGAGGAAAUUUCAUUGGUUACAUAUUUUUGCGUUAGCCAACAAAUAUAUCAUACGCAAGGCUAUUCAAUGAUAUAAUAUAUAAAUCUAAGUAUGAAUAGAGGUGACAUUGUGGAAAAUAUAUUCCCCUAAUCUCCAAUGNNNNNNNNNNNNNNNNNNNNNNNNNCGUCCUGUCAAUGUAAUGUGCCCCUAGUAGUUGUUGUUAGUUUUGUAGUUUGGGUUUUGUCUCUUUGUGUUCCGGCCGUUCCAGUCUCGUUAGCAUUAGUACUAAAUUCAUAUGUUUCUGACCCUGACUUCUCUUGGAGUAAUUGUGUUACAUAUCUUCUUGGAUUCGAUUAUACUGAUCAUAGCGCGCGUAUUCUUGAGGAAUUCUCAGAAUAAAAUUAUUGCGGAAGUGAUUGACGAUUAAUAAAAGAAGGUUUGAUAUGUAUUAUGUGUGUCUUCUAAAUCUUCGUAGUAUUGAAAGUAGUAGUUUGAUAUUUCAUCCUCAGUUUUGGAUUGUUUUACAUAUUUUAAAAUAGGACAAAUUUUGAUAUAUAAUUAAAAAAGAAGAUGUGUAUGAUUGCCAAUGAGACACUAUCCUCAAAGAGCAAAAUGAAACAGAAUCUAACAAACUAUAGGUCACGUACGCGACUUCAACAAUGAGCUAAGCCAUACCCGCAUAGUCAGAAAAGGCCCAGAUAGAACAUGUAAAACAAUUCUUAAGAGAAACCUAACGCCUUUAUUUUUGUAAAACAAAUGAACGAAAAACAAUAUGUAACAUUAACAAGCGACAACCCUGAAUUACAGGCUCCUGACUUGGGACAGGCACAUACAUUAAUAAUGUGGCGGGGUUAAACAUGUUAGCGGGAUCCCAACCCUCCCCCUAACCUGGGACAGUGGUAUAACAGCACAACAUAAGAACGAACUAUAAAAAUCAGUUGAAAAAGGCUUAACUCAUCAGAUGGACAAAAAUACAAGUGGACAUGGUAGAACAUUUCUUUGACUUUGUGAUUCAUAUUUUGUGCAGUGCAAGAUAAAAUGUUUUUCAUCUUCUAUUUUUUUAUUAUGACAUAAUUUGCACAACCUUUCUUCUCUGUUAACUUGCAUGUAUCCACCUCUUUCAAUUUCAAGAUUGUUGAUUAUAUAUGGAAUCACUGAAGCAUGACUGGAGUGCCUCCCCCCCUCCCUAAUGAAAAGUUUUGGAUCUGCCACUGCCUUAUCCAAAAACACUAAAUAAAAAUUUAAACAACUUGUUAUAAAUAUAUAGAAUUCUUAUAUGAUUUGCAUAUUAGGGAGUAAAUCAAAUAAAUCAAAUCAAAUCAAAUAAUUUUAUUUCCUAAUAUUGGUGUAAAUUCCUAUACAGAAAUGAUACCAACCGACAUUUACAAAAUACAAAAAUAAACAAACAAACAAACAAACAAAACCAAAAAACAACCAAACAUAUUUUCUCAAUGAUCAUGAUAAGAGAUACAUAUUCUAUAUUUACAUUGCAUGGAGGUGUUAUUCAUACAAUAUUAUUAAUUCAAGCUAUUACAAUCAGCUUUAAUACUAUAAAAGCUCUUAACAACAUUAUGUUUGCUUUAAAUGAAUGUUCAAAUACGUUGAUAUGGUUGGUCAAGAGGACUUCCUUUAGUUAUCUUGACGUUGGUUAUUUUUCGAUAGACAACGUUGACCGACUUCUUUUUGUAACCAAUGUAAACAAGAUGGCGGCGAUUAUAACACCGACCUUUACAAAAUUUAUUUUCACUGCACCUUAAUCUUUAUAUAAAAUAAUACACAAAAACAUUCGUUUGGAUGCCAAUAAGGGUUUUUGCAGUUUACUUUUUAUCAGAUGGCAAAUUUCAUUGGGUACAUAUUUUUGCGUUAGCCAACAAAUAUAUUCAUACGCAAGGCCUAUUCAAUGAUAUAAAUAUAUAAUCUAAGUAUGAUAGAGGUGACGAUUGUGGAAAAAUAUAUUCCCUAUCUCCAAUUUUAAAUGAUUAUAAGGAUUAAACGCCUUUUUAAAGGAAUUUAUUGGUUUAUAAACUGAAUUCCUUUAAAAAGGCGUUUAAUCCUAUAAUAAAUAUCCAUUAAACUAAUUAUUUGCAUGUUUUAAAUUUGAAAUAGCUACUAUGCUACUUAAAACUGUUAAUGCAGAAGAAUUAGGCUGAUAAUCCAUUACUCUUCAUUGUUUUAUGUUCAUCAAUGACAAUUUUUUGGAUUUUAAACCAUUUCAAAUUACUUUGAUCUAAUAAUGAAAGUGGACUCAUAGUAAAACCUAUAUUGUUUAAUGAAAUUUUUUUUGCAAGUUUAAUGGUUUUUUUUAAUUUUUUUUUACCAUUAUUGGAAAAAAAAGUAUAUUACAGGAAGGUUUUGGGGGGAGGGCUGUGGACUGCUUUAUUUAGAAGAAACAACAUGUUUAUUUAUAAUUGCUUUAGGUACAAAAAUGUAGAAGGACUUGAAGGAAUAAACAAAUGUGUAUUUAUUAUAACUUAAGUUGAAAGAACUUUGAAGAACGAACACAAUGUGUAUUUAUUGUUACUUUAUUUGCAGGUUGUUAUGAUGUAGAAAGUGAAGUAGAAAUAUGUCAUAAAAGUCAUUGUCUUCUAUGUCAUAUGUCAAUCAUAGGUGUAUUUACAGGUAAAUCACAUUGUUUUGUGCUACAUAUCUUGUUGAUUUCUUUAAUUAUAAAAGGACAAUAAUUGCAAGCUUUGGGGUAAGGCAUAUUUUAAUUAAGUUUUAUAUUUUUUUUAAAACUCAGGCUGAAAUUUUGAAAGUAAAUGGAAAUAUUUUUUUUUUAUAUUGCAACCCAUCACAAGAGUGAAUAAAAGAUAAGGUGGGGCCUUUCCAAAGAUAUUUAGUUCACUCAAAAGAGAGAAACAUCUUUGGUUCAGUGCUAUUUUCUUCUGAGUUUAUUAAUGGUAAUAUAAAACUUGAUUAAUUCUUCUUCAAAAAGAAAAAAAAACAACAUUAGAGAACAAGUACCUUCAAGUUUUGUCAUAAUUCCUUUAACAUGUCAGAGAAUCAAUGGACAAUGUAUUUUGCAAAGGCAACCAUCUUAUUGUUAAUGACUUUAUAUAUCAAAAAAGAAGACAAUAUGGUAUGAUUGCCAAUGACAAUGAGACAACUCUCCAUAAGAGACCAACUGACAUAAAAAUAAACAGCUAUAGGUCACUGUAAGGCCUUCAGCAAUGAGCAAAGCCCAUACAGGAAAGUAAGCUAUAAAAGGCAUUAUAUAUGCCUCCAGAUAUAUUAUGUUUCUUUUAGUUGCAUGCAGCUUGAUGCCAAAAUAGCCAAUAUAUGUAUUUACUUUUAUUUAAUAAAAGCGUUGUUUUACAUGCAGUCCGGCCAUCUUUAAAAAUUAUAAGAUGAAGUUAUAAAAAUUCUGACAAUACUACAUGUACUUAAUUACUUUAAUAGAAAAGAAAUGAUGUAAUUCACGUUUUUAUACUUGAUAUCACAUUUGUUUUAGUAGAUGUUUUUAAUUGUCAGAGGAAUAAAUUUUGGUACUAGCUAGUCAUCAAUAAUAGAUAACCACAAAGGUAGAUUAAUUUGUCACAACAUAAUUUACUCUUCUUUAAGUUCAAAUCCUUGUCAAGGUACAAGAAUAAAAAUGUUCUGACUUAUAAAACAUCUGAUAGACAUCAGUAAAUGUGUUUGAAGUGUAGAGACCUUAAACAGGAAACACAAUUUUUCAUAAUUUCCUUCCUUGAGGACUUUGAUCAUUGGUUCCCUGGUAAUAACUGGCUGUUUUAUCAUAAGACCACAGAACUAACCAUCUUGAAUCAAGAAAAAGGUAUAGUUUUCUUUAUUGUUUUUUAGUUUCCAUUUGGCUCAAAGUACUGGAUUAUGUACUGCAGCGUAUAAAAAAAGGUACAGUUAAGGACUUCCUGCAAAUUAACUGAAUGCAAAAAUGUUAAAUAGGGCUAUCAAUAAGAAACAUUGAAGAUUCAAAAUCAAAUCAAAUAAGGUUUACUUAACUUUCACUGAUAUUGCAGUAUGAACUAACUAACCCACUAGCCAUUUUCUACUAUUAUAUUUUACCCUCUUAAAUUGUGCUAGUUUUCAUUGUUUUCUUAUCAAUUUUCCAUAAUUAAAAUAAUUCUAGAUUCAAAUUAAUUCCUUGUUAUCAAUUGUAAAGUGUAAGUGAUUUUCAUGUCUGCCAGGGAAAUGUCACUUGUGUGUCAUGUGUGAUUAUGAAACAAAAUUAGUAAUGAGCAUCUCCCCUCAAACUACAAGAUUUUUUAUCAAGCUUGUAUCAUGUCUUUUACAUAUACACCUGCAGUAUAGACAUUUUUGUGUUUAUAUAAUAGAUUAUGUUAUACCUUUACAUAGUUUAGGUUUGUGUACCUAAUAAUAAGGUUGGUAGAAGAGAGUAGAUUAGGAUGUUACUGAGAUAGUUAGGGAUGAAUUUUAGUGUUUUGUAGCUCAUUUGUUUCUAUAGAUUAAAGCAGUGUCAAGGCAUUUUUGGGGAAACUGGGGAAAAAAAACAUGCAAAACUUCUUAAAAACCUUAAAUAAUUUGUUAAAUGAUAUGUUAACUUUUUCAAACCAAAACAAGUAACAGUGGUGUAGAUUUCUGGAGUUGAAUUUAGAAAUUUUAAGAAUUAUUUCAGAAAUACUUUAUUAGAUUGACUUUGGUUAGAACAGUAGAAGUCUAUGCAACUACCAAUUUUCAAGUUUUAGUAGAUACAAGUGGUGAAAUAUAAGAGGGAGAAGUUAAAACUUUGUACAGGUUUUAUGUUACAGCAUACAUGUAAUCUUGUGGAUACAUGAAGUGACAGGCAAUGUACAAUAAAGUUUUGAUAGUCCACUAACUUAAAACAUAGAUAAUUAGUGUUCUACUUGAACAUUUAGUAUAUUGACAAAGAAAAUCUCAAGAGGUGUUUUUAUGAUUAUUUUAUAGGCUUGGAGGAAUACCAUGACAAAGAGAACAGAAGUCUCUGAUUAAGGUUUGUUACAAUAUAUAAUUCAUCUAAUGCAUGCAAUAUUUUAUCUUUUAUUAAGACAAUUUGAUGAUUUUGUAAUUUAACCAUUAAAAAUAUAUAAUAGAUGUAUAUUGACUGAAUAUCCUGUUCUUUUUUUAAAACACAUGAUUUGUACAGAUCGGCGACCUACAUUUGCGCAGAUUUUCAAAUGACACGCAUUACGUUUGUACGGAGAAAUGGUAUUACAUUUGCGCGAAUUUACCUGUAGUUUACCUGGCUGUUUUUUUCCCUCUAAUUUGUUUUUCGAUUAUGUUUUGAACAAAAAACAGUGAUCAUACCACAUCUUGUUAUUUCAUAUAUUGAUAAACAUUAUUUGUUUAUAUGAACUUUAAAAAAGCGCUACAUUUAUCAUUUUAUGUAAAAGAAAAGUUUUUAAUAAAAUAAAGCGACAAUCAUGAAAAAGAACAUUCAGAAAUUGUUGAACUGUAAACUGAAUUUUCUCUUCGUCUGUGCGUUUUACAAUGGCUUGGUUAUCACUGCUGUGAAUUUUAAUGUAAGUAGUCAUCUAAACUUGUAAAAUAAUCUCAGCAAAAGAGUAGAUGACUGGAUGAGUUGAAUAAAACUGUUCAUUGUAACAUCUAUGAAAAGACUAUGGCUCGUUGUCUGAUAUAUAAUAAAGUCCAUCUUGUUAGUUUUAUUUUUUUUAUUUUAUCAAGUUAAUUUGUUCAAAUUAAUUUCAUUUUAUAGUAAGUAUAACAAAAUUAGAUAAAAAAUGUUUUUGUCGUGCAAAAUUGGAUUUUUUUUCUGCGCAAAUGAAGGACCAAUCCGUGCAAACAUAAUGCGCUGGUACAGACAGUCAUGGGUACUACUUGUACAAGUAAUUUUUAUUUACUUCUUCAAGUAUAUAAAAAUUACUUGUACUUGCUGUUAAAGACAAAAACAAUUGAUCAUAUCUCUUUUGUGUAUAAAUGAUAAAUCUUUUAUGAUCAAGAUGUUCUUCCAUAACUCUUUCAAAACUAAGUCCAAAUAUUUCACAUGGUAUUUUUCAAAGGAGAAAAAUCCUUUUUAAUGUUUAUUUACUCUACAAUGCAACCAUCCUUAAUCACACAAAAGGAGGAAAAUAAUAUAUGUUAACAUGGUUAGGUAAAAAUGUUCAAUAAGAUAAUUAAAUAUAGAUAGCUCUGGUUCUUGUGAACUUACAGACAGGUUUAUGAUGUCCAAUUAGGCCACCAUUAAAAAUUAAGUCUUUUCAUAAACAUAAAUAGACCUACUUAUAACAAGUCUGUCAGUUUUUGACUUGAAUAAGUCUGAAAAUGAGAGUACAUUAUUAUGAUAAAUACAUUUUUGGGCUACUAUUGCUUUCAAGCAAUCUGUAGACUUAUACGAUUGGCUCAGGGUGUCAUGCCCUCACGUCAACGGUUUUAUUCUAAACAUUAAGGACCAUCUCAGAUUCUUAUGAUUGUCUUGCUUUAAAAGGUAAAAACAAACAAAGGGAUUGAACUUAAACAACUUUCCUAUAAUGUUCUUUUCAUAAUCUUCAUGUUUGAUAUUUCCCUUGACUUAUAUGCCUGUUUUUAACAACACGGAAAAUCAGAAUUAAGCAGUAUUUAUAUUUAGUGUUUUUAUGAAUUUAGAAACACGUCAGAGGGAAUUCCCCAGUUGUGAUAAAAAUGCGAGAGUUCUCUGAAUUCCGAUAAAUCUAUUUCUGUCAUAUAAGAACUGCAGUGGAGUUUUUCUUAUAUGUCACUGUUAUGAAACUGAUAUUUAAUAAUGUACUUCAAUAAAGAAAUAGAGAACCAUCUAGGUCGUUUAAUUAAUGUACGUUCUUUCUCCAGGGUUUGUUUAGGUAAUUAUGCGCAUGUGUAUAGUUUUCUUGACUUCAAGGGGUAUUAGAUUGAAUUGUUGCUCUGGAUUCCCCACUCAAUUGAUUAAUUUAUAACUCAUGGGAUCCUUUCUAUGUAUGUCUGCUAUUGAGGGUUAUUGUUGUUGCAUAAUUUUAAAUCAUAUGCAUCAUAAAUGUAGUCCACAUUGUAAAAGUAACUACAACAUCCCUUCAGGCGAAAUGGAGUCUUCCAUAUUAUCAUUUCGAGUUGUCUCCCUUCAUCCAUCCAUCAAUCCAUUAGAAUGCAGUAACGUCUCAGUCAUUACAGCUGAACGGACGUGCUGGGCCAGCUCUCCUUUACCCGUUAUCUUGGAUGAGGGUUUACAGUUAGAUGAUCAACGAUUUACUACUUUAGAUGACAGAAACCAAUCCAACGCCGUACAGUAGACGUAGUAACAUGCACUCCAAAACCCAUUGUAUCAUGGGGGAGUGUUAUGCUGAUUAACGUCCAAGGGCUGUAUCCUAGGUGUUAGAUGACUGACCUUCAUUUCACUGCCUCGUGGCUUUGGUCCUGAUAAUGCUUCCUGUCAUCUUUAAUACUACAUCCACGAUUCAUCUACCAGUACUCCAUCAUUGAGGUUAGUGGGCUGCCAAGCUGACCAAUCUGGCCCUGAAAGCAGCCGUUGUGAAGAAUAUAACAUCAAAUUAGUAAACAAACCAAAUCAAAACAGUUCACAAAACCAAGAUGGCGACCUCCAAAAUGGCGACCACCACUCGUUCCUAACCGAUGGCACAACAUUAUUUAAAUGCUCACCAAUCGCCUUUCGGGCACCAAGUCGACCGUUCGAGGGCUGUAUAGCCAGUCAAGGUCGUUAAACACUUCCAUAUAUUCGGGAAGUUACUUCCGUGAAUUCUGAAUUAAAACAGCACGUUGAGAAGAUAAACUUGUUCUGUCGAUAAAUGUCGUAUUAUAUUAAAAACGAUCGCACUUUAAACCGAGGAAUGUGUACGGAAAGAAGUUAUGAUCACUGACCCAAAGGAAAUUAAAUAUUUAAAGAGUUAGGAAUGGGGUUCCUUCCUAGAAUUAACGUAGGAAAAUAGGUGAUACAUGUAAGAUAUGAAAUGAAAUAUCUUCUCUCACUCUGAGUCUCAGUGACUGCUGAGGAAAGUAAACUUAUUAUUGAUAGUACAAAACUAAAACACAAUAGGCCUAAGUAUAUUGUUCACAUAAUUUUAUCCAGGAUUGGCUAUUUUGUAACUAUUUAGAUUAUGUAUAUUUUACAUGUGCAGUUGAAUUAGUUUUGAAAAUAAUAUUAUCCAGCUUAGCUACAUGUAUACAUGUGUCAAUGAAAACAAUGGCAAUCGUAUCCCUCAGAGCAAUCUGCUCUUUUUUAUGUAAGUCAAAAAUAAAAAACGAUUUGUUAAUGUCUGAGCUCUAACUGAAUAUUGUAUGUUGAUUUCUAGAAUUCAUAAGUCCAUCCUUCUGUCUGACUGUUCAUCAACAAUUUCUGUAAAUGCAAAUGCUCCAAAAUUACGGGAUAGGAAGCUAAUGAAAUGUUGCACAGUUGUUGAAUAUAUGUACAUUGUGGAUGACCAAUAUUGCUUUGUUUGCAUUAGUAUUAUUUAUUUGUUUCUGUGUUUUUAUGCCCUAUUUUUAUGCCCCGUUUAUGGGCAUUAUGUUUUCUGGUCUGUGCGUCCGUUGUUCUUUCUUUCGUUCGUUCAUUUGUUUGUUCGUCCGUCUGUCCCGCAUCAGGUUAAAGUUUUUGUUUGAGGUAGUUUUUGAUGAAGUUGAAGACCAAUCAACUUAAAACUUAGUACACAUGUUACCUAUGAUAUGGUCUUUCUAAUUUAAAUACGAAAUUAGAGAUUUUCCCCCCAUUUUCACUGUCCACUGAAUAUAGAAAAUGAUUGCGUGGAUGGGCGUCCGUUUACUGGGGAUACAUUCUUGUUAAAAUUUGCAAGCACUGGACAAUUACUUACUUGUCAGUUCUCUAAUCUAGGUUGUAUGUUCCAUGUACAUACACUUAAUUAGUUACCAUAUAUAUAUUGUCUUAUUUGAAAGAUGACCUUGAGUAAGAAAAUUGUAUAGUUGGACCAUCCACUUCCAUUUAUGCCUAGCUAUGUCAUCAACAUACAUUUAUUUCCUCACAAUAUUUUAGUAAGUGGAAACUGUUUAUUCAUGGAUUUGGUUUCCAACUUGAGUGAACAAGCAGAAGCACCUUUGUAUGUAGACUAGAAAAUAAAUUUGUGUGGCCUUACCAUUAAUUAAUUUGACUUUGAAUGUAAAAAAGUAAAGUGAUGAGCUAAAUGACAUCAUGUACUGGCUAUGAACCCUAGGCAACACAUCUGUAUGUAUACUAAACUAAAGAAUUACGUCACAACAUUACUUCCAUCAAUCUUAUAUCGUGUAUUCUAUCACCAUUAUGAAAGGCAUUAUUUGGCACAAAAUUGCUAUCAUUCAUUAUAUAUGUUAAAAUGUACUGUAAUAUGCAAAUUUUUAAAACUAUUUUCAGAAAAUUACAACAAAGAAAAGUUAAAAUUUUAAUUAAUCUGACAUUGAUUAAUUUUUGUUAUGAUUUGUAUAACUAAUGGCUUAUAAGUUUUUACAUUGCUGCUUAAAAUUAAGGUCACUAAUAGUAAAGGUUUGUCUGUGAAUCAGCCAUUACAUAUACAUGUAAAUAUUAAUAAAAGCGUAAUUGCAAUUUGCAAUAAUGGUUUGUUAUACAUGUUAUAAGCAGUAAGUUUGGCCCAAAUGUCAAAAUAAGCUCAAAAACAUGGCUAAUUUAUAAUGGUCUUGCAAUCUACUUUGAUUUUUAUCAUUCCGGUAUGUUGGUAGGUUUAUAUCAGUUUAUAUGAUGUUGGCAGUCUAUGAAGGCCAUGUUGAUGGUUAAUUAGAUGGGGUAUAGACUUAAAUACAUAAGAAAUGCUGAUAUACAUAUUUGUGAUAAUUUAUAUUCUUUAAGAGCUCACCUAGCCCAUUGGUCUAGGUGGCCUGUUUCAUCAUGUGGAGUCUGCUGUCUAUUUUUGUCAUAAACUAUAGAAAAAAACAAGGCUGUGGUGAUAAAAUAAGUCAUAAGGGUAAAAUUCUUGAAUUAUCUUAUAUCUAGAAACCAUAAUAAAUAGGUAAAAUUUUACAGAAACAAGAUCUACUUUCUUUCUAUUUUCAGCUCAUUUCUGAUGAUAUUUGUUAUAAUGGCAGAGAUAUUGUAAUGAGGGUUUAUGUUGUCUCCUUACCUAACACCUUCUUUAAAUCAUACUUAUAGCCUGACUUUAAUAAAGUAAAAUAUAAAAGGAUUUAAAAAGCAUCAACCUGGCAAGAUCAGGUGAAUAAACUAUGUUCUUUAUUGAUAAAUAAUGUACUUGAACUAAGGUUACAAAUUAUAAUGCAAAUUGAAGUUGUUUGUCAGUUAAAAGUUUAACUGUAUGUCACAUUUAGUUUUAAAUAAUCUUAAGUUUAAAUGAAUAAUGAAAAAUGCAGUUUUGUAUCAACUUUUACAAACUGUUGUAAUAGUACGUGUAACUACAUCCUUUAAGUGCAACUUUCUUAUUGCAUCUUAAAAAUACAGCAUUUAAACAUUUGGAUUACAUACACAUGAACAUGUACCUGCCAACUCCUCAAAAUCUCCAUGCAGGAUUAUUAGCACAAAAGAAAAUAAUGCAAUGAUGAACUCAAAGGAGAAUUUUAAGAGUCCGACCAAAGCCUUUCAUUGGGGGAAGUCUCUUAAUUUAAUUUGGAAAGUUGUCAGGUGUACUUGAUCUACAGUUUAUGUUUGGCUUACUAGUUUAUUUUUGGUAACAGAUGUGUCAUUGUCUUAUCAUUUUUAUGGAGAGGGACAAAGACCACAAUUAAUGACCUUUAUUUUUGUUGUCCACAAAUUAAGUUUUCUUUAAUUAUCGUGUUUUUUUCUUUCUCUUUCUCAUUCAUGUCUAAGUUUUUGUUUGUUGGAAAUAAAAAAAAUUAGUUGGAUGUUUUAUUUUAACUGAUAUAUUGAUAAAAGGAAAGGUCAGAUUAGGUCCAAAAAGGUAAUAUUUAUAGAAUUCAGAACAGCAGUAUUGUUUAAAUGUGUAAACUGUAGAGAUAAAUUUUUUCUAAAAGUUUGAGAUAUUUAAGAAACUGUAUUAAUGUAUUAUGAAUAUUAUUUUUUUCAUCAUAUCUGAUUAGUGGGUAUAUUUGUCCUGUUGCUCAGAUAAGAAGUACCUGUAUUAAGCUAGUGCACUCAAAUGUGCAAUUAAUUGUACCAGGUAUGUUUAAUUUUUAGCACCACACAUUAGGUAUAGUUUUGACAUGAAAUGACUGUCACUUUAUUUUAACUUGAAAAACAAAAAGCUAAGGCUGCUUGAAAUUUUAAAAUGCAAUUUUGACAAAAUUAAGAAUCAAAAUCCAUGCCUUAAAAUAAUAACCUCUAAAGGUUGAAAUGCUUUGCUGAGUCUGCCUGACAUCUUUUGUUUUUGAUAAAAGUAUUGAAGAAAAUAAAUACUGAUUUUGGAAUUCCCUGAUUUGAUUUGAAUUUUGUAAUUGAAAAGUAUUUAUAUUUACAUUGUAUUAUGUUAUUCUAUGAAUAUUUGAAGAACAAUUACUUCUGCACCUUUUUAUUUUCAUUUAAAGAAUAGAAAAACUUUCUUUUUGGAUAUAAAUAAGUCAUAAAGAAAAAGAGAAACACUUAAUGUACAAUGUAGUAUAAUCUGAUGCAGCUGUUUCAUUGGGGAAAACAUGAUUAAACACACUGCUAUUGGUGAAUAAUAAAAUAAUAAAUAUUUAAUCUGACUCUAUAAGGUAAUGAUGCUCAGGUAAAACGCAGGUGAGUGACAGGUAUGUUAAUAUCAUUGUUUGAUUCAACAAUGUGUCAUUGGUUUCAUCACAAAUAUUUGUUUACAAUAGGUUAGGUCAGUUGUGGAUUUUCACAUUUAUUUGUAAUGAAAACAUCUUCUGUCAAUCUGUCCCAAGGAAAGGAACAGUAUUAAAGGGAGG